CCUACGGGAGGCAGCAGUGGGGAAUAUUGCACAAUGGGCGAAAGCCUGAUGCAGCAACGCCGCGUGAGCGAUGAAGGCCUUCGGGUCGUAAAGCUCUGUCCUCAAGGAAGAUAAUGACGGUACUUGAGGAGGAAGCCCCGGCUAACUACGUGCCAGCAGCCGCGGUAAUACGUAGGGGGCUAGCGUUAUCCGGAUUUACUGGGCGUAAAGGGUGCGUAGGUGGUUUUUUAAGUAAGAGGUGAAAUGCUAGGGCUCAACCGAAGUAAGCCUUUUAAACUGGGAAACUUGAGUGCAGGAGAGGAGAGUGGAAUUCCUAGUGUAGCGGUGAAAUGCGUAGAGAUUAGGAGGAACACCAGUUGCGAAGGCGGCUCUCUGGACUGUAACUGACACUGAGGCACGAAAGCGUGGGGAGCAAACAGGAUUAGAUACCCUUGUAGUC
This 439-nucleotide ribosomal RNA is filed under the name uncultured bacterium. RNAcentral's name for it is "partial 16S ribosomal RNA". It matches the Rfam family "Bacterial small subunit ribosomal RNA", at positions 338 to 795 of the family's 1533-position model. The record is from RNAcentral.